UUUAAGUGAUUUUCAAUGCAUGUAUGUGAUACCUGAAGCUUCUCUGCAAUCUCACGUGUUGUACUGUCGAUCCGAAUCGAUUAUUGCUUUGAUUAGGUCGUCAUCAACUUCAACUGGACGACCAGAGCGUUUUUCAUCUUUGAGUGAAAAAUCACCAGAACGAAAUUUGGCAAACCAAUUUUGACACUACCGUUCUUUUAUAGAUUCGUCGCCAUAAACAGCACAAAAUAAAAAUGUUCUUUUGAUCUUCCAUUUUUCAACAAACACCAAACGAAAACUACGCAACCGAUCAAAAAACUUUUUUUUUACUGAUUGACAGCUGAAUUGCAAACUAUCAAUUAACAAAAUGUGUUUUACAUUUGGACUACGCUAACAAAUCAAAAAAUUCAACUGAAGCAAUCUAUGAGUGAAAUCUGCAAUUACUACCAACCCAAUAUUUAUAUCGGUCCGCUAUAUGACGAAUGUAGUAAUGUUCCAUCUCUGGUUUGUAGUUUUUUGAUCUGUUUAUAGAUCUUAAAAAUAGCCUUGAAAAGUGUGAGCUCCCUUUUUAUUGGGACUCUAAUUUAAAUUUAUACGAGCAAAUUGGAGAGUCUGGAUUGGCUGAUAUGAGAAGAUGUGUGCGAAGUAAAACAAGAUUACUAGAAAACUAUGCAAGGCUGAAAGUUAAAACGGAAGCUGAUCAUAUCAAAGUUUACAAAACUUUUUUGUCAGUCACGGAAUUAAAUAAUAUAAAAAGUACAGCAGUUCCUGAGGACAAGUCUGCAGAGAAAA
This is a non-coding RNA of Bactrocera oleae (olive fruit fly), 771 nucleotides long. Lineage: Eukaryota; Metazoa; Arthropoda; Insecta; Diptera; Tephritidae. The record is from RefSeq and is a predicted model, not a curated record.